This is a long non-coding RNA of Pongo pygmaeus (Bornean orangutan), 2030 nucleotides long. RefSeq lists it as uncharacterized. The transcript has 2 exons. NCBI's taxonomy places the organism in Eukaryota, Metazoa, Chordata, Mammalia, Primates, Hominidae. The record is from RefSeq and is a predicted model, not a curated record.
CCCUCCCCCAGCCUCGCUGCCGCCUUGCAGUCUGAUCUCAGACUGCUGUGCUAGCAAUCAGCGAGACUCCGUGGGCGUAGGACCCUCCGAGCCAGGUGCAGGAUAUAAUCUCCUGGUGUGCUGUUUCCUAAGCCCGUCGGAAAAGUGCAGUAUUAGGGUGGAAGUGACCCGAUUUUCCAGGUGCCGUCUGUCACCCCUUUCCUUGAUCAGGAAAGGGAACUCCCUGACCCCUUGUGCUUCCCGAGUGAGGCAAUGCCUCGCCCUGCUUCGGCUCGUGCACGGUACGCUGCACCCACUGUCCUGCGCCCACUGUCUGGCACUCCCUAGUGAGAUGAACCCGGUACCUCAGAUGCAAAUGCCAAAAUCACCGGUCUGUGUCGCUCACGCUGGGAGCUGUAGACUGGAGCUCUUCCUAUUCGGCCAUCUUGGCUCCUCCCCAGGAUUAUUUUUAAACUGAUGAUUACAUUUCAUUUAAAGUCAUUACAUCUUUACAUUUAAAAUUACCCUACAUUUAAAACCAUUAUAUUUUUAAACCCCAAAAGUAUGGAGUACAUUUCUAGGUUAUACAAAAGAGCAUUUAUACCAUGAGUUUUCAUUGUUUUCUAUUUAAUUGUGUAUUUUCUUUUUUUUGAGAUGGAAUCUUGCUCUUGUCGCCCAGGCUGUAGUGCAGUGGCGUGAUCUUGGCUCAGUGCAACUUCUGUCUCCUGGGUUCAAGUGAUUCUUCUGCCUCAGCCUCCUGAGUAGCUGGGAUUACAGGUGCCUGCCAUCAUGCCUGGCUAAUUUUUGUACUUUUAGUAGAGACGGGGUUUCGCCAUGUUGGCCAGGCUGGUCUUGAACUCCCGAUGUCAGAUGAUCCGCCCACCUAGGCCUCCCAGAGAGCUGGGAUUACAGGCGUGAGUCACCACGCCCAACCUAAUUGUUUAUUUUCUAAUGUUAAAAAUAUAGAUCAGUGGUAGUUUUGGCUGGGGCCUAAGUAUUUUUCUAAAGCACCCCUUGGGAUUCUGGUGUAAACUCAGUUUUGACAUCUUGUAAUGUGGUAUACCUCCUUAAGUUUGAGUGAGGAAACUGAGGCUCAAUCUAGUUUUCAAGGAGCUGAGAUAAAUAGUGGGAUAUUGGAUGGGUCACUGCGGAAUCCCAAAAGAAAAUAAACACUCUGAUAAGACAAAUCUCCCUUAGUUUUCCCUCUGUACUUUAAUUCUGCUUUUUUAGAUGUUGAUAAAGAUAACAUAUACUCAUUUCAGAAAUUCAUAUAUGGCACAGAGCUGUAAAAGAAGAUGCAAAAUUCCCUGAAACCAAAUCACUAAUAGACAGCCACCAUCAAAUCUUGCUGCUUCAUUGAGAGAAUCAGACCAGCAGAGAGAGAGAGUUACAUGACAAAGUAUGCUGAGGAUAAAAUAUUGACAGAAAUAAAGAAGAUGUGUUAGAAGGGCCUUUUAUACUCAUUUGUGUUUUAAAUAAGAGACUCGGGCCGAAAACAAGUUUAAGAUAAGAUCUGUAUCAUUAUAUUUUACUCUAAAAACUCCUAAGUGGUUUGGUUUUUAGAUGAAAACCUCUAUGAUGAGCAAUAAGUCCAUUCCAAUUUUCCACUUCUAAGUUCCUCUUAAUUAAUCUUAAUUAUUGGUUGGGGAAUGAAGUGUCUUUGAUAGUCUGUUAUUCUUCCUUCUAGUGUCAUAAAAAUUAUUAAGUGAAUGUGUAAAACAUUGGCAUUCUGUAAAACAUGGUUAGCAUUAAAAUUAAGCUAAACAUAAUGUGGUUUUUCUUGAUGAUUGGGAGGUCACUCAGGAUUAUUCUGAGGAUUUUUAUAGAAUACACAUCAUAGUUAAUUAAAAAUUCCAGUUAAUGCAACACCUUAUAAUGGAAUUUAUUGUAUAUCACUGUUUAAGAAACAGCUUAGUUAUAUAAUAUUUUUGAUAAUUGCCAAAAUACACUUUUUUUUGAAAAAAGACAUUUGGAAUUAUUUGAAAAACUAUUUACCUUCUAUAAUCGUUUUCCUAAAAAUACUACAUUGGAAAUUGAAAAAACAAAAUAAA